This is a non-coding RNA of Hypoxylon sp. FL0890, 128 nucleotides long. The record is from the annotation of a GenBank genome assembly. Lineage: Eukaryota; Fungi; Ascomycota; Sordariomycetes; Xylariales; Hypoxylaceae.
GGCGCAGUGGCGGAGUGGUCUAACGCGAUAGACUAGAACAAUCUCUGGGAACGUCCACGAUGUUGUCCAGUAGGUCUCUAGCCCAUCUAUUCCCUUCGGGGGCGUCUGUUCGAAUCAGGCCUGCGUCG